This 2904-nucleotide ribosomal RNA is filed under the name Escherichia coli. RNAcentral's name for it is "23S ribosomal RNA". It matches the Rfam family "Bacterial large subunit ribosomal RNA". Lineage: Bacteria; Pseudomonadati; Pseudomonadota; Gammaproteobacteria; Enterobacterales; Enterobacteriaceae. The record is from RNAcentral.
GGUUAAGCGACUAAGCGUACACGGUGGAUGCCCUGGCAGUCAGAGGCGAUGAAGGACGUGCUAAUCUGCGAUAAGCGUCGGUAAGGUGAUAUGAACCGUUAUAACCGGCGAUUUCCGAAUGGGGAAACCCAGUGUGAUUCGUCACACUAUCAUUAACUGAAUCCAUAGGUUAAUGAGGCGAACCGGGGGAACUGAAACAUCUAAGUACCCCGAGGAAAAGAAAUCAACCGAGAUUCCCCCAGUAGCGGCGAGCGAACGGGGAGCAGCCCAGAGCCUGAAUCAGUGUGUGUGUUAGUGGAAGCGUCUGGAAAGGCGCGCGAUACAGGGUGACAGCCCCGUACACAAAAAUGCACAUACUGUGAGCUCGAUGAGUAGGGCGGGACACGUGGUAUCCUGUCUGAAUAUGGGGGGACCAUCCUCCAAGGCUAAAUACUCCUGACUGACCGAUAGUGAACCAGUACCGUGAGGGAAAGGCGAAAAGAACCCCGGCGAGGGGAGUGAAAAAGAACCUGAAACCGUGUACGUACAAGCAGUGGGAGCACGCUUAGGCGUGUGACUGCGUACCUUUUGUAUAAUGGGUCAGCGACUUAUAUUCUGUAGCAAGGUUAACCGAAUAGGGGAGCCGAAGGGAAACCGAGUCUUAACUGGGCGUUAAGUUGCAGGGUAUAGACCCGAAACCCGGUGAUCUAGCCAUGGGCAGGUUGAAGGUUGGGUAACACUAACUGGAGGACCGAACCGACUAAUGUUGAAAAAUUAGCGGAUGACUUGUGGCUGGGGGUGAAAGGCCAAUCAAACCGGGAGAUAGCUGGUUCUCCCCGAAAGCUAUUUAGGUAGCGCCUCGUGAAUUCAUCUCCGGGGGUAGAGCACUGUUUCGGCAAGGGGGUCAUCCCGACUUACCAACCCGAUGCAAACUGCGAAUACCGGAGAAUGUUAUCACGGGAGACACACGGCGGGUGCUAACGUCCGUCGUGAAGAGGGAAACAACCCAGACCGCCAGCUAAGGUCCCAAAGUCAUGGUUAAGUGGGAAACGAUGUGGGAAGGCCCAGACAGCCAGGAUGUUGGCUUAGAAGCAGCCAUCAUUUAAAGAAAGCGUAAUAGCUCACUGGUCGAGUCGGCCUGCGCGGAAGAUGUAACGGGGCUAAACCAUGCACCGAAGCUGCGGCAGCGACGCUUAUGCGUUGUUGGGUAGGGGAGCGUUCUGUAAGCCUGUGAAGGUGUACUGUGAGGUAUGCUGGAGGUAUCAGAAGUGCGAAUGCUGACAUAAGUAACGAUAAAGCGGGUGAAAAGCCCGCUCGCCGGAAGACCAAGGGUUCCUGUCCAACGUUAAUCGGGGCAGGGUGAGUCGACCCCUAAGGCGAGGCCGAAAGGCGUAGUCGAUGGGAAACAGGUUAAUAUUCCUGUACUUGGUGUUACUGCGAAGGGGGGACGGAGAAGGCUAUGUUGGCCGGGCGACGGUUGUCCCGGUUUAAGCGUGUAGGCUGGUUUUCCAGGCAAAUCCGGAAAAUCAAGGCUGAGGCGUGAUGACGAGGCACUACGGUGCUGAAGCAACAAAUGCCCUGCUUCCAGGAAAAGCCUCUAAGCAUCAGGUAACAUCAAAUCGUACCCCAAACCGACACAGGUGGUCAGGUAGAGAAUACCAAGGCGCUUGAGAGAACUCGGGUGAAGGAACUAGGCAAAAUGGUGCCGUAACUUCGGGAGAAGGCACGCUGAUAUGUAGGUGAAGUCCCUCGCGGAUGGAGCUGAAAUCAGUCGAAGAUACCAGCUGGCUGCAACUGUUUAUUAAAAACACAGCACUGUGCAAACACGAAAGUGGACGUAUACGGUGUGACGCCUGCCCGGUGCCGGAAGGUUAAUUGAUGGGGUUAGCGCAAGCGAAGCUCUUGAUCGAAGCCCCGGUAAACGGCGGCCGUAACUAUAACGGUCCUAAGGUAGCGAAAUUCCUUGUCGGGUAAGUUCCGACCUGCACGAAUGGCGUAAUGAUGGCCAGGCUGUCUCCACCCGAGACUCAGUGAAAUUGAACUCGCUGUGAAGAUGCAGUGUACCCGCGGCAAGACGGAAAGACCCCGUGAACCUUUACUAUAGCUUGACACUGAACAUUGAGCCUUGAUGUGUAGGAUAGGUGGGAGGCUUUGAAGUGUGGACGCCAGUCUGCAUGGAGCCGACCUUGAAAUACCACCCUUUAAUGUUUGAUGUUCUAACGUGGACCCGUAAUCCGGGUUGCGGACAGUGUCUGGUGGGUAGUUUGACUGGGGCGGUCUCCUCCUAAAGAGUAACGGAGGAGCACGAAGGUUGGCUAAUCCUGGUCGGACAUCAGGAGGUUAGUGCAAUGGCAUAAGCCAGCUUGACUGCGAGCGUGACGGCGCGAGCAGGUGCGAAAGCAGGUCAUAGUGAUCCGGUGGUUCUGAAUGGAAGGGCCAUCGCUCAACGGAUAAAAGGUACUCCGGGGAUAACAGGCUGAUACCGCCCAAGAGUUCAUAUCGACGGCGGUGUUUGGCACCUCGAUGUCGGCUCAUCACAUCCUGGGGCUGAAGUAGGUCCCAAGGGUAUGGCUGUUCGCCAUUUAAAGUGGUACGCGAGCUGGGUUUAGAACGUCGUGAGACAGUUCGGUCCCUAUCUGCCGUGGGCGCUGGAGAAUUGAGGGGGGCUGCUCCUAGUACGAGAGGACCGGAGUGGACGCAUCACUGGUGUUCGGGUUGUCAUGCCAAUGGCACUGCCCGGUAGCUAAAUGCGGAAGAGAUAAGUGCUGAAAGCAUCUAAGCACGAAACUUGCCCCGAGAUGAGUUCUCCCUGACUCCUUGAGAGUCCUGAAGGAACGUUGAAGACGACGACGUUGAUAGGCCGGGUGUGUAAGCGCAGCGAUGCGUUGAGCUAACCGGUACUAAUGAACCGUGAGGCUUAACCUU